Molecule: ribosomal RNA, 252 nt
Filed under: uncultured Gardnerella sp.
Lineage: Bacteria; Bacillati; Actinomycetota; Actinomycetes; Bifidobacteriales; Bifidobacteriaceae
Description: partial 16S ribosomal RNA
Rfam family: Bacterial small subunit ribosomal RNA
Source: RNAcentral
CGGGUGAGUAAUGCGUGACCAACCUGCCCCAUGCUCCAGAAUAGCUCUUGGAAACGGGUGGUAAUGCUGGAUGCUCCAACUUGACGCAUGUCUUGUUGGUAAAGUGUUUAGUGGCAUGGGAUGGGGUCGCGUCCUAUCAGCUUGUAGGCGGGGUAAUGGCCCACCUAGGCUUCGACGGGUAGCCGGCCUGAGAGGGCGGACGGCCACAUUGGGACUGAGAUACGGCCCAGACUCCUACGGGAGGCAGCAGUC